Molecule: long non-coding RNA, 1065 nt
Organism: Passer domesticus (house sparrow)
Lineage: Eukaryota; Metazoa; Chordata; Aves; Passeriformes; Passeridae
Exons: 2
Source: RefSeq, a predicted model, not a curated record
CUCAGUGGAGGCUCAGCACAGCAGCCAAACUCCCAAGCAGUUCCCAGCUGCAGGCAGCCUAAGCAAGCUAUAGUGAUUUCAGCUCUUAGUGAUUCUUUGUGAUUUCAGCUCUUUAGCUUGCUGGUGUUGCAGCAGCCGAUGGUGGGAGAGAGAGGAGAAGCACUGUUUAAGGUUCCACAGGAAUUCUUUAUUGCUGCCCCCCAUGAAGGUUCCAGGGACAGCUCUUCUGCCGAACCAGGCAGAAUCAGAGGUUUUUAUACCUUACAGGGGUUUUGGAAAUUGUCCAAUAGUAAGGGUCAGGGGAAAGUGACCUAUAGGCAUACAGAGAGAUAAGCAGGGUCCGAAAGGUGGAAGAGAGGGGCUGCUAAGGUCCAGUCAUGCUGACUUGGCAUUUCCUAGCUCAGGCUUCUGACCUCCAAGGAGGCCUUGCAGGCCCUGGGCCUGCUACAAUGCCCAUUUUUCAGGCAGCUAGAGCCAGGUGAGAUGCAUUUCAUCCAGGAACGCCUCCCUCUGUGAUGUCAAUUGACCACUGUUCUCUAUCAGUUAGGAAAGAGAAUUCAUUGAGCAACCGACCCCAGCACAGAAAAUUCACUCUGUUGAACCAAUGAAUUGGGAAUUUCCAUAGGAUGAAGGCACAAAUUUAAGAGUGAGCCAGCUGUACAGCUAAGCAAACAAAACUGAAUUCUCAAAAGUCAUACAACCUCUCACAGGAAUGUUUGUAUCUGACAUUAUAACAUUACCAACUCUAAUGAAGAUAUUCACCUGAAUCACAGAGAUGGAAGCUGCCUCUUUCCCAUUCUGCUGUUCCUGAUGUGCCCAAGCACACAUUUUUGUCAUUGUUAAACAUAUGAAACGAUCUUCUGCAUUGUCCUUGAGUGUCUCUGAAUAAAACACUGAGCAUAAACACAGCUAUUGGUGCAAUUCAGCGCAACAGUACGCAUCUGUAAUUUCAGAACUAUGCCAAGUUAAAAAACAAACAAUACAACAGCUUCUGUUCUUGAGUUAAAAGAGCUGAGCAAAAGUAAAAAUAUUUUCAUCUAUAUUAAACCUGUUCUUAUAAAUUUA